CCUACGGGUGGCAGCAGUGGGGAAUAUUGCACAAUGGGCGCAAGCCUGAUGCAGCCAUGCCGCGUGUGUGAAGAAGGCCUUCGGGUUGUAAAGCACUUUCAGCGGGGAGGAAGGCGUUAAGGUUAAUAACCUUGUCGAUUGACGUUACCCGCAGAAGAAGCACCGGCUAACUCCGUGCCAGCAGCCGCGGUAAUGCGGAGGGUGCAAGCGUUAAUCGGAAUUACUGGGCGUAAAGCGCACGCAGGCGGUCUGUAAAGUCGGAUGUGAAAUCCCCGGGCUCAACCUGGGAACUGCAUUCGAAACUGGCAGGCUAGAGUAUUGUAGAGGGGGGUAGAAUUCCAGGUGUAGCGGUGAAAUGCGUAGAGAUCUGGAGGAAUACCGGUGGCGAAGGCGGCCCCCUGGACAAAGACUGACGCUCAGGUGCGAAAGCGUGGGGAGCAAACAGGAUUAGAUACCCGAGUAGUC
RNAcentral lists this ribosomal RNA (465 nucleotides) under uncultured Klebsiella sp. RNAcentral describes it as "bacterial SSU rRNA". It matches the Rfam family "Bacterial small subunit ribosomal RNA", at positions 338 to 795 of the family's 1533-position model. Lineage: Bacteria; Pseudomonadati; Pseudomonadota; Gammaproteobacteria; Enterobacterales; Enterobacteriaceae. The record is from RNAcentral.